CGCACUGUGGCAAACACAAGAGGACAUGAAUGGUUGGCGGUGCAGUGUGGUGGAAGUGCAUUGCAGUGGAUCCCAAGGAAACCAGAGGCAAAUUCUGGCUCUGCCACUAGCAAGGCUCUGUGGCUAGGGUACCCCUGUGGAAUUCAGCCUCCUCAUCCGUGAAAUGAAGAAGUGAAACAAAAACAUCUUAAUGUUAUUUCUAACACCUGCUUUCUCUGGAUUCAGCAUCAGAAUAUAUCCAGAUAAGACUGCAAACAACUGAGAGAGCUAAUUCUUUGCUGUUGGGAAUGAGAGUUAGACUACCAUCAAACUCUUCACCCACAACCCUAGAAGCCAGCAGACAGUGGAGGAAUAUCUGCAACCACUAAGAAGAAAGGCUGCCAUCCAGGACUCCUAUUCCCAGGAAAGAUAUCAGUCACUCAUCAAGGUAAAAGGAAGACACCCUUACCUGUACUGGAAUUCAGAGAGUUGGGGGUAUUUAACGAAAAUAAGAGAAGUCUUCUGAUCAUUAGAUUAGAACAGAGAUCACAAGACAGGAGCAGAUGUCCAGAAUGAUGUUGUCAUUGAACGUAUGUGAUGUAAGUGUUAAGAAAGGAUUCUUGAAACAGAAGAGAAAUACUGUAAGAGGAAACCUAGCAAUGAUCUGCAACUGUAAGUUUUAAAUUAUUUCCACAAAACCCACGUAUGGAGCAGGGUGCACUGUCUGGGGGAAGUGUGAGAGUGGGAAAGGAAGAACAUUCUUAAGUUCUCAUAUCAGUGCAGGGGAUGGGGACUAGGCACAUCAGACAAAGGCAUUUUCAUUAUUU
Molecule: long non-coding RNA, 806 nt
Filed under: Homo sapiens (human)
Lineage: Eukaryota; Metazoa; Chordata; Mammalia; Primates; Hominidae
Description: HSALNT0046098
Source: RNAcentral